RNAcentral lists this ribosomal RNA (207 nucleotides) under uncultured bacterium. RNAcentral's name for it is "partial 16S ribosomal RNA". It matches the Rfam family "Bacterial small subunit ribosomal RNA", at positions 568 to 774 of the family's 1533-position model. The record is from RNAcentral.
CUCGUAGGCGGUUCGUCGCGUCCGGUGUGAAAGUCCAUCGCUUAACGGUGGAUCCGUGCCGGGUACGGGCGGGCUUGAGUGCGGUAGGGGAGACUGGAAUUCCCGGUGUAACGGUGGAAUGUGUAGAUAUCGGGAAGAACACCAAUGGCGAAGGCAGGUCUCUGGGCCGCCACUGACGCUGAGGAGCGAAAGCGUGGGGAGCGAACA